UGCAGUCGACGCUUCUUUUUCCACCGGAGCUUGCUCCACCGGAAAAAGAGGAGUGGCGAACGGGUGAGUAACACGUGGGUAACCUGCCCAUCAGAAGGGGAUAACACUUGGAAACAGGUGCUAAUACCGUAUAACAAUCGAAACCGCAUGGUUUUGAUUUGAAAGGCGCUUUCGGGUGUCGCUGAUGGAUGGACCCGCGGUGCAUUAGCUAGUUGGUGAGGUAACGGCUCACCAAGGCGACGAUGCAUAGCCGACCUGAGAGGGUGAUCGGCCACAUUGGGACUGAGACACGGCCCAAACUCCUACGGGAGGCAGCAGUAGGGAAUCUUCGGCAAUGGACGAAAGUCUGACCGAGCAACGCCGCGUGAGUGAAGAAGGUUUUCGGAUCGUAAAACUCUGUUGUUAGAGAAGAACAAGGAUGAGAGUAACUGUUCAUCCCUUGACGGUAUCUAACCAGAAAGCCACGGCUAACUACGUGCCAGCAGC
Molecule: ribosomal RNA, 486 nt
Filed under: Enterococcus hirae
Lineage: Bacteria; Bacillati; Bacillota; Bacilli; Lactobacillales; Enterococcaceae
Description: bacterial SSU rRNA
Rfam family: Bacterial small subunit ribosomal RNA
Source: RNAcentral